Molecule: long non-coding RNA, 689 nt
Organism: Onychostoma macrolepis
Lineage: Eukaryota; Metazoa; Chordata; Actinopteri; Cypriniformes; Cyprinidae
Exons: 3
Source: RefSeq, a predicted model, not a curated record
UUUGUACAUUACAGUAAAAUGCUGUAAUUUAUAUUGCAUUCUGGGUAAUUUUGACUUGGCGGGAAUAUUUUACAGUAUAUUUUAGUACUGCUGUAACCUUGCUGUAGCCUGACUGUAAUACACGGGGCAAUAAUACAGGACUGCUGUAAAUAGCGCGCCACCUGACGUCACAUCACAGACAACACAGCUGCUGCUGACCGGAGAGAGACGCAGAACUGAGGAUUUAUGCAACUCCACAGUGUGGUCCACUUGUCUUUGUACCCUGGGAAGGGCAAUGCUGUCACAAGGCAGUUUUUUUUUCACCACUGAUGGGAAUAAAUAUACUGGCAGACAACGAGUGAGCAGAAGAUCAGGACGGUGGUGCAGAGUGAUGGCCAUCAACCCUGCAUGUCAACAGCUUCAUUCAAUCCAAAAUGAUGUUUAAAUGGAGGACUUAACAGAGAGGGUCAGUGGCCUGUUUGCCACCACCAACAUGCCCUGCAUUUAGGGGUGAUGGUUAUGAGACACUUGUUGUUGUUUUUGCUAAUUUUAAGAUAGUUUAAUUUUUAGAUAAAUCAAGUUCUCUCUUAGGACAUUGAUUCCAAAUCCAGCCCUCACGAUGCAUGUGUUUGUUUCAUUUAUAUUCUUGCACAUUUAAAAUGCUUUCAUGGCUGUAAAUUGUUGAUGCACUGUACUCUGGGUAGCAAACA